AUAAACGGCCGCGGUACUUUGACCGUGCUAAGGUAGCGUAAUCAGUUGGCUUCUAAUUAGGGUCAAGAAUGAAUGGAGUYACGUGGUUCGACUGUCUCCUAAAUAUUUAUUUGAAAUUACUAUAUAGAUGAAAAAGUCUAUAGUUUGAAAAAAGACGAGAAGACCCUUAGAGUUUUACUUAGUGUGAUUUAAAUUAAAUCAUAAUGGUUUUGUUGGGGCAACGUAGGAGCAAAAUUAUUAAUYCUCCUGAAUGAACUAACCGAUUAUUUUAAAUAUGGAAAAACUACCUUAGGGAUAACAGCAUUAUGUAAAAAAUAAGUUUGUGACCUCGAUGUUGGACUGGGAAAUUUAAAGGCUAGCC
RNAcentral lists this ribosomal RNA (361 nucleotides) under Felimare villafranca. RNAcentral's name for it is "partial 16S ribosomal RNA". It matches the Rfam family "Archaeal large subunit ribosomal RNA", at positions 2003 to 2635 of the family's 2987-position model. Lineage: Eukaryota; Metazoa; Mollusca; Gastropoda; Nudibranchia; Chromodorididae. The record is from RNAcentral.